GGUUGCCAAGGAGCCAGGCAUUCAACAUUCUGCAGGUCAGUUCUUUGAACUUCUAGGUUUGUCUGUCCACCAUUUUGUUGGCAGGCUAACAAGGCAGCUCUUCUCCAGCAGUCUGGCCAACAUGCUGUAGAUAUCAGGGGAGGUUUUCCACUUGUAAAUAGUGAACAUUUUCUCUUGAAGUCCGUGGAUGAGAUAUCUUCAUAAUCUGAAUGCUAAAGUUGAAAAGGAAAAAGCAAGUCUUCACAGAAUCAAAGAAUGGUUUAAUUUGGAACCAUUGGAGUUUAACUGGUCCAACUUCCCUCCUGAAGCAGAGAAAAAUUUUGAUAGGAUUCUCCAUAGAUGCUAAGGUCAAGCUCCAAAUGCCUGCUCAUCAAGUACUUUCAUCUACAUACAAUACAGUAGUCCAACUUGCAGA
Gallus gallus (chicken) is the source of this 415-nucleotide long non-coding RNA. RefSeq lists it as uncharacterized. The transcript has 2 exons. The record is from RefSeq and is a predicted model, not a curated record. Lineage: Eukaryota; Metazoa; Chordata; Aves; Galliformes; Phasianidae.